AAUGAACGCUGGCGGCAUGCCUUACACAUGCAAGUCGAACGGCAGCAUGACCUAGCAUGCUAGGUUGAUGGCGAGUGGCGGACGGUUGAGUAAUGCAUCGCAACGUGCUUUUUAGUGGGGGCCAACGUAGCGAAAGUUACGCUAUUACCGCAUAUUCUCUGAGGCGGAUUGCAGGGGUCAUACCGGCCUUGCGCUAGAAGAGCGGCCGAUGUCGGAUUAGCUAGUUGGUGAGGUAAAGGCUCACCAAGGCAACGAACCGUAGCGGGUCUGAGAGGAUGAUCAGACACACUGGGACUGAGACAAGGCCCAGACUCCUACGGGAGGCAGCAGAGGGGAAUUUUGGACAAUGGGAGCAAGCCUGAUCCAGCCAUGCCGCGUGGGUGAAGAGGGCCUUGGGGUUGUAAAGCUCUUUCGGCUGGGAGGAAAAGGCACACUCGAAAACAGGGGGUGGAUGACGGUACCAGCAGAAGAAGCACCGGCUAACUACGUG
RNAcentral lists this ribosomal RNA (490 nucleotides) under uncultured bacterium. RNAcentral describes it as "partial 16S ribosomal RNA". It matches the Rfam family "Bacterial small subunit ribosomal RNA", at positions 29 to 507 of the family's 1533-position model. The record is from RNAcentral.